UACGAGGGGUGCAAGCGUUGCUCGGAAUUAUUGGGCGUAAAGGGUAGGUAGGUGGUCUCAUUUGUCUGAGGUGAAAGCCUUGAGCUUAACUCAAGAAGUGCCUUAGAAACGGUGAGACUAGAGUCCUGGAGAGGGUCGUGGAAUUCCCGGUGUAGCGGUGAAAUGCGUAGAGAUCGGGAGGAACACCAGAGGCGAAGGCGACGACCUGGACAGGUACUGACACUGAACUACGAAAGCAUGGGUAGCAAACAGG
Molecule: ribosomal RNA, 253 nt
Filed under: uncultured bacterium
Lineage: Bacteria
Description: partial 16S ribosomal RNA
Rfam family: Bacterial small subunit ribosomal RNA
Source: RNAcentral